Bombus impatiens (common eastern bumble bee) is the source of this 728-nucleotide long non-coding RNA. RefSeq lists it as uncharacterized. NCBI's taxonomy places the organism in Eukaryota, Metazoa, Arthropoda, Insecta, Hymenoptera, Apidae. The record is from RefSeq and is a predicted model, not a curated record. The transcript is spliced from 3 exons.
CGACCGUGAAACAACACUCGUGAUCGUAGAUGACGUGAAUGACUUGCAUUUAUUUCGCUUUGAUGAUCAAGCACGUUAGCAGCUACUCACCGAGGUUUUUACCUUUGAGACCGUUCGCGCACCUUUGAACCAAUACGUCCGUAAAUUGAUGGUAAACUGAAAAUGUUGGAGGGAUUCACGUAUAAAAAAUGACAAUCAUUAGGUUUACAUUACAUAUUUAUGAGUUAAUUAUGUAAGGAUUGAGAAAUGAAGAGGUUAUAGGUUGAAGCUCGUAGGAGUUUGAAAUUGGGAAAAUGAGAGACCACGUUUAUUUUGAGACAAUAUAUUUAUUUCUUAUUAAUAUGGAGUUUUCAACAAUAACAGUAUAAUAGUAGGCGUAACAAGAGAGACGAGGGAUGAUAACUAACAUGCAUUUGUGAGAGUCUCUAUCUCGUUAGACUUUCAAGAAUUUCAGUUACGAGUGUCGGAUACAGUGCCUAACGAGAAAACUAUGAAACUAAAUCGCUAUCCUCUAUGUAUAAUUUAUAAUUAUAUAGCGAAUUGCUCGAUAAUACGAUUAAACGCUAUAUCCGUAAGUAAAGAAUUGGGCGGAUCGACUACUCCUAAGGCCUCGCUCAUCAAUUAUUUUCAAUUAAUUUAGUCCCACACAUUCAUUCUAACAGUCUAAGUUUGGGUAGUUGGGAUCAAGUUGGAACGAUGAUAGUUCAUUUUCAGUUUGACGAAAAAAA